UACAGAGGUCUCAAGCGUUGUUCGGAUUCAUUGGGCGUAAAGGGUGCGUAGGCGGCGCGGUAAGUCGGGUGUGAAAUCUCGGAGCUUAACUCCGAAACUGCAUUCGAUACUGCCGUGCUUGAGGACUGGAGAGGAGACUGGAAUUUACGGUGUAGCGGUGAAAUGCGUAGAUAUCAGGAGGAACACCGGUGGCGAAGGCGGGUCUCUGGGCAGUAACCUCGCUGAGGAGCGAAAGCGUGGGGAGCGAACAGG
This 252-nucleotide ribosomal RNA is filed under the name uncultured bacterium. RNAcentral's name for it is "partial 16S ribosomal RNA". It matches the Rfam family "Bacterial small subunit ribosomal RNA", at positions 524 to 776 of the family's 1533-position model. The record is from RNAcentral.